AGAGUUCGAUCCUGGCUCAGGAUGAACGCUGGCGGCGCGCCUAACACAUGCAAGUCGAACGGCACCUAUCUUCGGAUAGAAGCGAGUGGCGAACGGCUGAGUAACACGUGGAGAACCUGCCCCCUCCCCCGGGAUAGCCGCCCGAAAGGACGGGUAAUACCGGAUACCCCGGGGUGCCGCAUGGCACCCCGGCUAAAGCCCCGACGGGAGGGGAUGGCUCCGCGGCCCAUCAGGUAGACGGCGGGGUGACGGCCCACCGUGCCGACAACGGGUAGCCGGGUUGAGAGACCGACCGGCCAGAUUGGGACUGAGACACGGCCCAGACUCCUACGGGAGGCAGCAGUGGGGAAUCUUGCGCAAUGGGGGGAACCCUGACGCAGCGACGCCGCGUGCGGGACGGAGGCCUUCGGGUCGUAAACCGCUUUCAGCAGGGAAGAGUCAAGACUGUACCUGCAGAAGAAGCCCCGGCUAACUACGUGCCAGCAGCCGCGGUAAUACGUAGGGGGCGAGCGUUAUCCGGAUUCAUUGGGCGUAAAGCGCGCGUAGGCGGCCCGGCAGGCCGGGGGUCGAAGCGGGGGGCUCAACCCCCCGAAGCCCCCGGAACCUCCGCGGCUUGGGUCCGGUAGGGGAGGGUGGAACACCCGGUGUAGCGGUGGAAUGCGCAGAUAUCGGGUGGAACACCGGUGGCGAAGGCGGCCCUCUGGGCCGAGACCGACGCUGAGGCGCGAAAGCUGGGGGAGCGAACAGGAUUAGAUACCCUGGUAGUCCCAGCCGUAAACGAUGGACGCUAGGUGUGGGGGGACGAUCCCCCCGUGCCGCAGCCAACGCAUUAAGC
This 835-nucleotide ribosomal RNA is filed under the name human gut metagenome. RNAcentral's name for it is "bacterial SSU rRNA". It matches the Rfam family "Bacterial small subunit ribosomal RNA", at positions 8 to 865 of the family's 1533-position model. The record is from RNAcentral.